AAUCAACGCUGGCGGCGUGCCUCAGACAUGCAAGUCGAACGCGAAAUUUCCCUUCGGGGAGAAAGUAGAGUGGCGCACGGGUGAGUAACACGUAGGUAAUUUGCCUUUGGGUGGGGAAUAACUCAGGGAAACUUGAGCUAAUACCGCAUAAUGCAGCGGCUCGACAUCGAGACAGUUGUUAAAGCGGGGGAUCGCAAGACCUCGCGCCUGAAGAGAAGCCUGCGGCAGAUUAGCUAGUUGGUAAGGUAAUGGCUUACCAAGGCGACGAUCUGUAACCGGCCUGAGAGGGCGGUCGGUCACACUGACACUGACAUACGGGUCAGACUCCUACGGGAGGCAGCAGUCGGGAA
This 350-nucleotide ribosomal RNA is filed under the name uncultured bacterium. RNAcentral describes it as "bacterial SSU rRNA". It matches the Rfam family "Bacterial small subunit ribosomal RNA", at positions 32 to 361 of the family's 1533-position model. The record is from RNAcentral.